RNAcentral lists this microRNA (22 nucleotides) under Caenorhabditis briggsae. RNAcentral's name for it is "Cbr-Mir-305-P2_5p (mature (guide))". The record is from RNAcentral. Lineage: Eukaryota; Metazoa; Nematoda; Chromadorea; Rhabditida; Rhabditidae.
UUUGUACUGCACAAAAGUACUG